Molecule: small RNA, 19 nt
Filed under: Arabidopsis thaliana (thale cress)
Lineage: Eukaryota; Viridiplantae; Streptophyta; Magnoliopsida; Brassicales; Brassicaceae
Description: ATSL003190
Source: RNAcentral
UGUGAAAAAGAAGAAGAUA